Molecule: ribosomal RNA, 587 nt
Filed under: uncultured bacterium
Lineage: Bacteria
Description: bacterial SSU rRNA
Rfam family: Bacterial small subunit ribosomal RNA
Source: RNAcentral
UGCAAGUCGAGCGCGCCCUUCGGGGUGAGCGGCGGACGGGUGAGUAACGCGUGGGAAUAUGCCCUUCUCUAAGGAAUAGCCUCUGGAAACGGAGAGUAAUACCUUAUACGCCCUUUGGGGGAAAGAUUUAUCGGAGAAGGAUUAGCCCGCGUUAGAUUAGGUAGUUGGUGGGGUAAUGGCCUACCAAGCCUACGAUCUAUAGCUGGUUUGAGAGGAUGAUCAGCCACACUGGGACUGAGACACGGCCCAGACUCCUACGGGAGGCAGCAGUAGGGAAUCUUAGACAAUGGGGGCAACCCUGAUCUAGCCAUGCCGCGUGUGUGAUGAAGGCCCUAGGGUCGUAAAGCACUUUCGCCAGAGAUGAUAAUGACAGUAUCUGGUAAAGAAACCCCGGCUAACUCCGUGCCAGCAGCCGCGGUAAUACGGAGGGGGUUAGCGUUGUUCGGAAUUACUGGGCGUAAAGCGCACGUAGGCGGAUUAGUAAGUUAGAGGUGAAAUCCCAGGGCUCAACCCUGGAACUGCCUUUAAUACUGCUAGUCUUGAGUUCGAGAGAGGUAAGUGGAAUUCCGAGUGUAGAGGUGAAAUUC